UGGGGAAUUUUGCGCAAUGGGGGAAACCCUGACGCAGCAACGCCGCGUGAGUGAUGAAGGCUUUCGGGUCGUAAAGACUCUUGUCGAGUGGGAAGGGAUGAGAGUGGCUAACUACCCGCUUUUCUUGACGGUACCCCACAAAGGAAGCACCGGCUAACUCCGUGCCAGCAGCCGCGGUAA
This 180-nucleotide ribosomal RNA is filed under the name uncultured Geobacteraceae bacterium. Its description in RNAcentral is "partial 16S ribosomal RNA". It matches the Rfam family "Bacterial small subunit ribosomal RNA", at positions 355 to 523 of the family's 1533-position model. Lineage: Bacteria; Pseudomonadati; Thermodesulfobacteriota; Desulfuromonadia; Geobacterales; Geobacteraceae. The record is from RNAcentral.